This 253-nucleotide ribosomal RNA is filed under the name uncultured bacterium. Its description in RNAcentral is "partial 16S ribosomal RNA". It matches the Rfam family "Bacterial small subunit ribosomal RNA", at positions 524 to 776 of the family's 1533-position model. The record is from RNAcentral.
UACGUAGGGUGCGAGCGUUAAUCGGAAUUACUGGGCGUAAAGCGUGCGCAGGCGGCUUUUUAAGCCAGACGUGAAAUCCCCGGGCUUAACCUGGGAAUGGCGUUUGGAACUGGAAGGCUAGAGUGUGUCAGAGGGGGGUAGAAUUCCACGUGUAGCAGUGAAAUGCGUAGAUAUGUGGAGGAACAUCAGUGGCGAAGGCGGCUUCCUGGCUUAAAACUGACACUGUGGCGCGAAAGCGUGGGUAGCAAACAGG